Molecule: ribosomal RNA, 450 nt
Filed under: uncultured bacterium
Lineage: Bacteria
Description: partial 16S ribosomal RNA
Rfam family: Bacterial small subunit ribosomal RNA
Source: RNAcentral
GUGGGGAAUCUUCCGCAAUGGACGAAAGUCUGACGGAGCAACGCCGCGUGAGUGAUGAAGGUCUUCGGAUUGUAAAGCUCUGUUAAUCGGGACGAAAGAGCCUAGUGUGAAUAAUGCUAGGAAGUGACGGUACCGGAAUAGAAAGCCACGGCUAACUACGUGCCAGCAGCCGCGGUAAUACGUAGGUGGCAAGCGUUGUCCGGAAUUAUUUGGCGUAAAGCGCGCGCAGGCGGAUCUGCCAGUCUGUCUUAAAAGUUCGGGGCUUAACCCCGUGAUGGGAUGGAAACUACAGAUCUAGAGUAUCGGAGAGGAAAGUGGAAUUCCUAGUGUAGCGGUGAAAUGCGUAGAUAUUAGGAAGAACACCAGUGGCGAAGGCGACUUUCUGGACGAAAACUGACGCUGAGGCGCGAAAGCCAGGGGAGCGAACGGGAUUAGAAACCCCAGUAGUCC